AUGGGAAGCAAAGAGAAUUUCACUAACAAUUCCUGCACAAGUUGUGCUUCUGGACAAACACAAUUCUUUUGUUUGCAGGGGCUCCUUAAAAUAAAACUAAGGCUUUCUGCCCAGGAUUUGUAUUCACUAGAAGUGUUUGGUUUGCAUUUCUCAACAUCCAGAACCACCCCUGAAGAAAAUAGGGCAGCAGCCUUGCAGGUAGGAAAGACCUGUCCUGGAGGGGAAACAAAUAUAGCCACCAUAUAUUUUUAUUUAGAAACAACUGCCUCAGGGGCUGAUGACUUAGAAAGCAAGUCCCAUCUCUGUCUGCAUCAGGAAGACUGCCAAGCUCAGGACUUAGAAGGAACUGGAAAGGUGAUCAGAAUAUCACAAAAGUGA
RNAcentral lists this long non-coding RNA (378 nucleotides) under Zonotrichia albicollis (white-throated sparrow). RNAcentral's name for it is "lncRNA (ENSZALG00000004412.1)". The record is from RNAcentral. Lineage: Eukaryota; Metazoa; Chordata; Aves; Passeriformes; Passerellidae.